GACGAACGCUGGCGGCGUGCCUAAUACAUGCAAGUCGAGCGAUGAAGAUUUGUGCUCGCGCCCAUUUGAAGAGCAGCGAACGGGUGAGUAACGCGUGGGGAAUCUGCCUUUGAGCGGGGGACAACAUCUGGAAACGACUGCUAAUACCGCAUAACAACUUUAACCAUAAGAUUUAAGUUUGAAUGAUGCAAUUGCAUCACUCAAAGAUGAUCCCGCGUUGUAUUAGCUAGUUGGUGAGGUAAAGGCCCAACAAGGCGGUGGUACAUAGCCGGCCUGAGAGGGAGGUCGACCCAAACGGGAAUGGGGACACGCCCAAGCUUCCUCCGGGAGCCGCAAGAGGGGAACUUUGGCCAAUGACGGAAGUCUGACCGAACAAAGCCGGGUGAGGGAAGAAGGGUUUUGGAUCGGAAAACUCUGUUGGUAGGGAAGAAAGUUGGGGAGGGUGGAAAGCUCAUGAAGUGACGGUAACUACACAGAAAGCGACGGCUAACUACGUG
Molecule: ribosomal RNA, 497 nt
Filed under: uncultured bacterium
Lineage: Bacteria
Description: partial 16S ribosomal RNA
Rfam family: Bacterial small subunit ribosomal RNA
Source: RNAcentral